This 400-nucleotide ribosomal RNA is filed under the name uncultured bacterium. Its description in RNAcentral is "bacterial SSU rRNA". It matches the Rfam family "Bacterial small subunit ribosomal RNA", at positions 355 to 772 of the family's 1533-position model. The record is from RNAcentral.
UGGGGAAUAUUGGACAAUGGGCGCAAGCCUGAUCCAGCCAUGCCGCGUGAGUGAAGAAGGUCUUCGGAUUGUAAAGCUCUUUUGGUGGGGAAGAUGAUGACUGUACCCACAGAAUAAGCUCCGGCUAACUUCGUGCCAGCAGCCGCGGUAAUACGAAGGGAGCUAGCGUUGUUCGGAAUCACUGGGCGUAAAGCGCGCGCAGGCGGCUUUUUAAGUUAGGAGUGAAAGCCUUGGGCUUAACCCAAGAAAUGCUCUUAAGACUGGAAAGCUAGAGUGUGGGAGAGGAUAGUGGAAUUCCGUGUGUAGAGGUGAAAUUCGUAGAUAUACGGAGGAACACCGAUGGCGAAGGCACCUAUCUGGAACACAACUGACGCUGAGGCGCGAAAGUGUGGGGAUCAAA